Molecule: ribosomal RNA, 1549 nt
Filed under: Thyronectria concentrica
Lineage: Eukaryota; Fungi; Ascomycota; Sordariomycetes; Hypocreales; Nectriaceae
Description: eukaryotic LSU rRNA
Rfam family: Eukaryotic large subunit ribosomal RNA (bases 644-1549)
Source: RNAcentral
CACACCGCCCGUCGCUACUACCGAUUGAAUGGCUCAGUGAGGCGUUCGGACUGGCCCAGAGAGGUGGGCAACUACCACUCAGGGCCGGAAAGUUCUCCAAACUCGGUCAUUUAGAGGAAGUAAAAGUCGUAACAAGGUCUCCGUUGGUGAACCAGCGGAGGGAUCAUUACCGAGUUUACAACUCCCAAACCCCUGUGAACAUACCUCUUGUUGCUUCGGCGGGACCGCCCCGGGCCCCGUGCCCGGAACCAGGCGCCCGCCGGAGGCCCCUAACUCUUGUUUUCUUAUGGAAUCUUCUGAGUCAAACAAACAAAUGAAUCAAAACUUUCAACAACGGAUCUCUUGGUUCUGGCAUCGAUGAAGAACGCAGCGAAAUGCGAUAAGUAAUGUGAAUUGCAGAAUUCAGUGAAUCAUCGAAUCUUUGAACGCACAUUGCGCCCGCCAGUACUCUGGCGGGCAUGCCUGUUCGAGCGUCAUUUCAACCCUCAAGCCCCCGGGCUUGGUGUUGGGGACCGGCCGCCGCUCACCCGGUGGCCGCCCCCGAAUUCCAUUGGCGGUCUCGCUGUAGCCUCCCCUGCGUAGUAGCACACCUCGCAGUGGAACGCGGCGCGGCCACGCCGUAAAACCCCCAACUUCUGAAUGUUGACCUCGGAUCAGGUAGGAAUACCCGCUGAACUUAAGCAUAUCAAUAAGCGGAGGAAAAGAAACCAACAGGGAUUGCCCCAGUAACGGCGAGUGAAGCGGCAACAGCUCAAAUUUGAAAUCUGGCCCUCGUGGUCCGAAUUGUAAUUUGUAGAGGAUGCUUUUGGUGCGGUGCCUUCCGAGUUCCCUGGAACGGGACGCCAUAGAGGGUGAGAGCCCCGUCUGGUCGGAUACCAAACCUCUGUAAAGCUCCUUCGACGAGUCGAGUAGUUUGGGAAUGCUGCUCUAAAUGGGAGGUAUAUGUCUUCUAAAGCUAAAUAUUGGCCAGAGACCGAUAGCGCACAAGUAGAGUGAUCGAAAGAUGAAAAGCACUUUGAAAAGAGGGUUAAAUAGUACGUGAAAUUGUUGAAAGGGAAGCGUUUGUGACCAGACUUGGGCCCGGUUAAUCAUCCAGCGUUCUCGCUGGUGCACUUGGCCGGCCCAGGCCAGCAUCAGCUUUCUGCGGGGGAUAAAGGCGGCGGGAAUGUGGCUCCUCUGGAGUGUUAUAGCCCGCCGCACAAUACCCUGUGGGGGGCUGAGGUUCGCGCAUCUGCAAGGAUGCUGGCGUAAUGGUCAUCAACGACCCGUCUUGAAACACGGACCAAGGAGUCGUCUUCGUAUGCGAGUGUUCGGGUGUCAAACCCCUACGCGUAAUGAAAGUGAACGCAGGUGAGAGCUUCGGCGCAUCAUCGACCGAUCUUGAUGUUCUCGGAUGGAUUUGAGUAAGAGCAUACGGGGCCGGACCCGAAAGAAGGUGAACUAUGCCUGUAUAGGGUGAAGCCAGAGGAAACUCUGGUGGAGGCUCGCAGCGGUUCUGACGUGCAAAUCGAUCGUCAAAUAUGGGCAUGGGGGCGAAAGACUAAUCGAC